UACGUAGGGUGCAAGCGUUAAUCGGAAUUACUGGGCGUAAAGCGUGCGCAGGCGGUGAUGUAAGACAGUUGUGAAAUCCCCGGGCUCAACCUGGGAACUGCAUCUGUGACUGCAUCGCUGGAGUGCGGCAGAGGGGGAUGGAAUUCCGCGUGUAGCAGUGAAAUGCGUAGAUAUGUGGAGGAACACCGAUGGCGAAGGCAGCCUUCUGGGCCAACACUGACGCUCAUGCACGAAAGCGUGGGGAGCAAACAGG
RNAcentral lists this ribosomal RNA (253 nucleotides) under uncultured bacterium. RNAcentral describes it as "partial 16S ribosomal RNA". It matches the Rfam family "Bacterial small subunit ribosomal RNA", at positions 524 to 776 of the family's 1533-position model. The record is from RNAcentral.